UACGUAAGUGGCGAGCGUUAUUCGGAAUUAUUGGGCGUAAAGGGCGCGUAGGCGGCUUGAUGUGUCAAAGGUGAAAUCCCUCGGCUCAACUGAGGAACUGCCUUUGAAACUGUCUGGCUUGAGGCCGGGAGAGGGUAGCGGAAUUCCCAGUGUAGCGGUGAAAUGCGUAGAUACUGGGAGGAACACCGGUGGCGAAGGCGGCUACCUGGACCGGUUCUGACGCUGAUACGCGAAAGCGUGGGGAGCGAACAGG
This 253-nucleotide ribosomal RNA is filed under the name uncultured bacterium. RNAcentral describes it as "partial 16S ribosomal RNA". It matches the Rfam family "Bacterial small subunit ribosomal RNA", at positions 524 to 776 of the family's 1533-position model. The record is from RNAcentral.